GACGAACCGAGCGAACGUUGUUCGGAAUCACUGGGCUUAAAGGGCGCGUAGGCGGGUACUCCAGUCCGUGGUGAAAUCCUCCGGCUCAACCGGAGAACUGCCUCGGAUACUGGGUGUCUCGAGGGUGGUAGGGGUAUGCGGAACUAUCGGUGGAGCGGUGAAAUGCGUUGAUAUCGAUAGGAACUCCGGUGGCGAAGGCGGCAUACUGGACCACUUCUGACGCUGAGGCGCGAAAGCCAGGGGAGCAAACGGG
RNAcentral lists this ribosomal RNA (253 nucleotides) under uncultured bacterium. Its description in RNAcentral is "partial 16S ribosomal RNA". It matches the Rfam family "Bacterial small subunit ribosomal RNA", at positions 524 to 776 of the family's 1533-position model. The record is from RNAcentral.